CUCCAAUCUCCUCUCUGUGCCAAGCACGCUCCGUAGGAAGACAAGUCAAUGCCAGCUUGCACGUCUAAGCCAUAGCCAUCAUUCUAUUGUAUUUCUAACAGAGGAGCAGACACAUGGAGAGAUGGAAAUGGGGAAACAAAAACAAUGAAGUUUCAGCCUGGCCUGACUAGAAAGUAAUAAGUGCUGCCAUCCUAUCAACACGAGUUUGCCUUCUCUAGUGAAGCUCUUAAAUCACACAAAAACACCUUCACAAGCAACUAAGUGCUGUAAUCCCUGUGACUGCCAAAGCUCAUCCUACUUCUCACCAGCUGGACUUUCCUUGGGGCUGGGAACUUACAGCCACUUGAGUCCUUCUUCUGGGAAAAAACGUCCCAUAGAGUGCUUCCCA
Long non-coding RNA from Hirundo rustica (Barn swallow), 388 nucleotides. RefSeq lists it as uncharacterized. Lineage: Eukaryota; Metazoa; Chordata; Aves; Passeriformes; Hirundinidae. The transcript is spliced from 3 exons. The record is from RefSeq and is a predicted model, not a curated record.